This 75-nucleotide transfer RNA is filed under the name Flavobacterium sp. RNAcentral describes it as "tRNA-Ile". It matches the Rfam family "tRNA". From Rfam's summary of the family: Transfer RNA (tRNA) molecules are approximately 80 nucleotides in length. Their secondary structure includes four short double-helical elements and three loops (D, anti-codon, and T loops). The record is from RNAcentral. Lineage: Bacteria; Pseudomonadati; Bacteroidota; Flavobacteriia; Flavobacteriales; Flavobacteriaceae.
GCAGAUGUAGCUCAGUGGUAGAGUCCAAGUUUGAUAAACUUGUUGUCGUAAGUUCAAUUCUUACCAUCUGUACCA